GUGAAUCAUCAAAUUUUUGAACGCAAAUUGCACUCUCUUCGGAGAGUAUGCCUGUUUGAGGGUCAGCCUAAAAAAAAUCGACAUAGUUGCUGUUACGCGGUAACAUUCGUCGGAAAUUGGGUCAUCUUAAAUCUUUUGGUUUAAGCGGCUUAAAAUUUUCUUUACGAUUCCAAUAACGUUUCUUCGAUUUUAUUUUCUUAUACGUUUAAGGUAUCUAUCUUUAUUAUCCGUGGCCCUUUCAUCUGAUCUCGUCCCUAAA
RNAcentral lists this unclassified non-coding RNA (259 nucleotides) under Glomus sp. Its description in RNAcentral is "partial contains 5.8S ribosomal RNA and internal transcribed spacer 2". The stretch from base 1 to 65 matches the Rfam family "5.8S ribosomal RNA", at positions 84 to 154 of the family's 154-position model. The record is from RNAcentral. Lineage: Eukaryota; Fungi; Glomeromycota; Glomeromycetes; Glomerales; Glomeraceae.